Peromyscus maniculatus bairdii (prairie deer mouse) is the source of this 1110-nucleotide non-coding RNA. The record is from RefSeq and is a predicted model, not a curated record. Lineage: Eukaryota; Metazoa; Chordata; Mammalia; Rodentia; Cricetidae.
ACCCUUCAAAUAGAGUUUGCUCAUGAGGAUACCUUAUAAAUGCGCACAAUUCUGAGCAUUUGGAUCGGCAUUUGGGAGAGUCAGAGUCCCUAAUCAGGAGAAUGUACGGCUGUAGAGUUAGUUAUCCAUUUGUAUGGUGCAGAGCGGUGUUAAAUCCCCAGCCUUUGGAGUAAGGCAGAGGUAGGAAGAACUCAUUCUAAGUGGUCUGUGUACUUUGUCAAGGCUCUCCAGAGCCCAGGAAGGCUCUGAGGAACCUCAAGAGAAGAGUAUUUCUCCCAGUCUUGAGAGUCACUGAAACAGUGGGAACCCACAGCCUCUUGACAUCUCCCCAGAAGCCGCAGCUGCUGUCUGAUCGAUCACAGCAGGUCAAGGCAGUGACUGUCAGCACGGUCCCAUAGCACCAGUGAUCCAGAAGAGCCUACCAGAAAUGUCCGGGUGGAGCCCCACCCACGCUGACAAAGUGUCCUUUAAUGAGCCUCAAGGGUGAUUCUGCCACUUGUUGGUUUGGUAAGCCAUGGGGCAAGGAGGGACAGUCACCACUCUGUGGCGUAGCCCUGGGCAUUCCCUGACCUGCUUUUGGACUCCAGUGACAGCAGCCUCCACAUCCGAGGCCCACCCUGUGUUCUGGCCAAGCGCCCUCCACUGAGCGCCAUCCUUAAAGCCCGUCCAGCGCGUUGGUGGAUGACUGCAUUGGGAGGCCGAGAUCAGCCAGCACUGUUCCUGCCUCUCUCUGUGCAGAGGUUGCUGGACAACUGUGCUUGCUUGUUAGGGCAGCUAAGGUCUGGCUUCCUUUCUUUUACCCAAGACUUGGACUUUGUGUCCCGUCCCCCCCUUAGGAUUAAGGAAUGUUCCAGCUUCUUUCCAGUGCCCGCUGAAUAGAAGCUGUCUUUGACGGUUUUGAUGGCGCUGCUCCUAAGGGUCGGAGGUGAAGUUGUAGCGCGGCCCUGCACGGGAAGUCCUGCACUAGUUCCAUUUCGACCUUCGCCAUAGCUAAUUUUCAGUUUUUCACUCCUGGCUCAAUCCCCAAACAACAGUAACCGAGACCAUGUUAAAUUCCAAGCACUGUGCAAAAUGAAUAAACUACAGCCCUUAUUCCUGAGGGCCAUGCAG